Molecule: ribosomal RNA, 259 nt
Filed under: uncultured bacterium
Lineage: Bacteria
Description: partial 16S ribosomal RNA
Rfam family: Bacterial small subunit ribosomal RNA
Source: RNAcentral
UGGCGGACGGGUGAGUAACGCGUGGGUAACCUGCCCUGUACAGGGGGAUAACAGUCAGAAAUGACUGCUAAUACCGCAUAAGACCACAGCACCGCAUGGUGCAGGGGUAAAAACUCCGGUGGUACAGGAUGGACCCGCGUCUGAUUAGCUGGUUGGUGAGGUAACGGCUCACCAAGGCGACGAUCAGUAGCCGGCUUGAGAGAGUGAACGGCCACAUUGGGACUGAGACACGGCCCAAACUCCUACGGGAGGCAGCAUG